UGCCGAUGAUGCAUUUUGAUGCACGUAUUAUCAGAUUACAGCGUGAUGAUCUGCAAAAUUGUCACUACCUCUGAGGCA
Eucalyptus grandis is the source of this 78-nucleotide non-coding RNA. NCBI's taxonomy places the organism in Eukaryota, Viridiplantae, Streptophyta, Magnoliopsida, Myrtales, Myrtaceae. The record is from Rfam.